CGUUGCUUCACAGUCGUUCUUCACUGGCUAGCUUUAUGUGGUUCUGCCUUAAAGCUGCCAGUUGAAGAGCUGUUGUGGGCAAC
RNAcentral lists this microRNA precursor (83 nucleotides) under Astyanax mexicanus (Mexican tetra). RNAcentral describes it as "mir-22 microRNA precursor family". It matches the Rfam family "mir-22 microRNA precursor family". Lineage: Eukaryota; Metazoa; Chordata; Actinopteri; Characiformes; Acestrorhamphidae. The record is from Rfam by way of RNAcentral.